Molecule: ribosomal RNA, 253 nt
Filed under: uncultured bacterium
Lineage: Bacteria
Description: partial 16S ribosomal RNA
Rfam family: Bacterial small subunit ribosomal RNA
Source: RNAcentral
UACCGAAUGUGCAAACGUUAUUCGGAAUCACUGGGCUUAAAGAGUCCGUAGGCGGCUUGUUAGGUGAGGUGUGAAAUCCCUCGGCCCAACCGAGGAAUUGCGCUUCAAACCGGCAAGCUAGAGGAGGAUAGAGGUGGGCGGAACUGAUGGUGGAGCGGUGAAAUGCGUUGAUAUCAUCAGGAACACCGGAGGCGAAGGCGGUCCGCUGGGUCCUUUCUGACGCUGAGGGACGAAAGCUAGGGGAGCGAACGGG